AGCCUCAAGGAGGGAAGAGAGGGACAUCAUGGUGGCGCUGGACUCCCUGCAGGGCUCAGCGGCUCCCUCAGGACAAGGAGAAAGCUGGGAACCCUAAGACAGAACUGGAGGUUCUCGUUGCCUAAAUCUCUCCUGGCUUGCUGCACAUGGAACCCAUUUCUUCCCAUUCAGGGCUCUGCAGAGGCAGAAGAUGAACAGUAAGAUGCAAAGAUCUGGCAACCUUCAGAGCUGGAUGUUCUCACAGAGCUACACAUGCCACAGUCAUCACUAGUUGCGAGAGUCUCCAGUGUUCAUUAAGCCUAUUUUGCUGGAAGUUUAGUCCCUGGAGGAUUAGUCCCUGCCCUUAAGGAGUGCCAAAGAAGACUUUGGAAUCUAAGUCACAUCUCCCCUGCUGCAAUUUUUUCCUCUUGAUAAUCAAGGAAUCUCACUGAUAAAACUCUCAAUGAGGAGCAGCUCUCCCCAUGAGCAAGUUCUUGCCUUCAUUGCCAGGGAGGCCCCAGCUAAGGUUAUACUGGGAAAGGAAUCUCUGGGGAGUACCUGGAAGAGGUCAGCUUCUCCUCAAAGGAAGCCUCUCCAGCUGGUGUACUGCAAAGCCUUCCAAGACCAAGUUCCCUCUUCCUGGCCUCUGGAACCAGCCUGUGUGCCAGCGCUGUGUCCCCAGUAACACACAUGAGUCUCUCCCUCAGAAGCCACAGAAGGAUGCAGAGAGAGACCAACCCAGGAUUGAUUCUCAGCACUUACUAAUUGUGUGGACAUAACUGCUCUGGACCUCAGCUUUGCUAUCUAUAAAAUGAGCACCCUUUUUAUAGAUAUGAACACUUUAAGAGAGUCAUAAAGAUUGAAGUUGAUUUGUGCUGCGCCUGGCA
RNAcentral lists this long non-coding RNA (866 nucleotides) under Homo sapiens (human). RNAcentral describes it as "HSALNT0368249". Lineage: Eukaryota; Metazoa; Chordata; Mammalia; Primates; Hominidae. The record is from RNAcentral.